Molecule: ribosomal RNA, 486 nt
Filed under: uncultured bacterium
Lineage: Bacteria
Description: bacterial SSU rRNA
Rfam family: Bacterial small subunit ribosomal RNA
Source: RNAcentral
GAUGAACGCUGGCGGCGUGCUUAACACAUGCAAGUCGAACGAAGAUGCCGGAGUGCUUGCACUUUGGCAGACUGAGUGGCGGACGGGUGAGUAACGCGUGGGUAACCUGCCUUAUACAGGGGGAUAACAGUUGGAAACGACUGCUAAUACCGCAUAAGCGCACGGUAUCGCAUGAUACAGUGUGAAAAACUCCGGUGGUAUAAGAUGGACCCGCGUCUGAUUAGCUUGUUGGUGAGGUAACGGCCCACCAAGGCGACGAUCAGUAGCCGGCCUGAGAGGGUGAACGGCCACAUUGGGACUGAGACACGGCCCAAAACUCCUAACGGGAGGCAGCAGUGGGGAAUAUUGCACAAUGGGGGAAACCCUGAUGCAGCGACGCCGCGUGAGCGAAGAAGUAUUUCGGUAUGUAAAGCUCUAUCAGCAGGGAAGAAGAAAUGACGGUACCUGACUAAGAAGCAACCGGCUAAAAUACGUAGCCAGCAGCCG